GCAAGUUGGAACUGAAGUCUGCAGGACGGUACUGAAGCUAUCCGGGAGCACAGUUGGAGACCCCUGGUUUAAAGGAAAUGUCUGUGUUUUUGUGCAUUCAAUGGAAGUCUUGUCUUUCGGAGAAUGUACGUCAUACAAGUUUGAAAAGACAUGAAGUGUCCCGCUGAGAAUUUCAUCUUGUGCAGGAGGACAGACUAUCAUUCCGGCAAAUAGCAUCACGAAGGCCAAACUUUUAAAGGACAUGUGUUACUGGUAGAGGACACGAAAUAUAAUGUAAUAAGAAAAUGUGGCCAAUGUUUGUGCCCCCUCUGUCCCUUGCAGCUAUGGCAAUUAAGUAAAUGUUUAAGCAUAAAGCACAAUAUAUGAUGAAUCAGUCAUAUGAAUCAGCUAAAAGUGACCCAGCCAAUUUGUCUAUAGAAGCAUUCAGUGCUUCAUGUGGAAGGAAAAAAGGAGGUACACUCCUACU
Sinocyclocheilus anshuiensis is the source of this 466-nucleotide long non-coding RNA. RefSeq lists it as uncharacterized. The record is from RefSeq and is a predicted model, not a curated record. The transcript has 3 exons. Lineage: Eukaryota; Metazoa; Chordata; Actinopteri; Cypriniformes; Cyprinidae.